AAGAGAACAAUGAUUUAGAAGAGGAUGUAUCUGAAGAAGAAUAUGGGGAAGAAUACAACCCCGAGAACAAUGCAUCACCUUCAGAUGAAGAAGAAAUCCCCCAAGCUGAAAUAGAGACAGCAAAAUAAGACAGUCCUUGUCACCAUAUGACAACCAGGGCAGGAUGGCAGCACAAAAUAUCAUAAUGAUGACCCCAGGGCCCACAAUUCCUGCAGUAGCCCAUGUCCAGGACAUCGCCUCAACAUUCUACAUGUUCAUUACACCAGCCAUUGAAAAGAUCAUCCUGGAGAUGAAAAAUUUGGAGGGUUUACCGUAAAUAAGGAGACAUCUGGAAAAGGAUGGAUAAGAUGAUGACCUGCAAGAUGUGUGAGAGACAAACUGGCGGCCAUAAGAGAGUUCUGGGAGAUGUGGGUGGAGCGUCUGCCAUACUUCUACAACCCUGAGCCUGAAGUAACAGUGGAUAAACAACUGGCUCCAUUCAGAGAGACAGUAUACGCCCAGCAAGCUAGCAAAGUAUGGCGUCAAGAUAUGGGCAGCCUGUGACACACAAUUCAGCUACGCUUGGAACAUGCAAGUCUACACAAAGACAACCAGUGGAGGCCCAGAGAAGAACCAGGAGAUGCGGGUUGUGCUAGAAAGAACAAGCCUGAGCUUCCUCCCUGCACUCCUCGCAACAAGGGGGAGAGAGGCUUUCUCAUCAAAGUUUGCCUUCAUCCCCACCACCACUCUAGUUUUUUUACCUCCCAAAGAGGAACAAGAAUGUGGUCUUCCUGAGCACACUGCACAAAACGGCUGAGAUCAGAGAUCGUGAGGAGAGGAAGCCAGCCCUCAUCCUGGACUACAACCACAACAAAGGAGCUUACAGCUGCAGGAGGAUGACUGCCCACUGGCCCCCUGCUCAUCUUCCAUAACAUUAUUUAUGUGUCCUCAUACAAUGUCUUUGUGAUAUGGAACAAGAUCAACCCUACCUGGAUGCUGGAUAAGCGGAACAAGAGGAGGGUGUUCCUGGAGCAGCUGGGAAAGGCAUUUGUAACCCCACACAUUCAAAGAAGUGAGCGCCUCCCCUGCACAGCAGCCUCUGCAGCGCUUAUGAAAGCUAUUCAGGGGGCUGAAUCUUGUUCUGAUUCACCUGAGGCUGCAGCUGGGGCAGGCAAGAGGAGGAGAUGCCAAUUCUGCUCCCCAAAGAUGGACUGUAAAACAAAUACUGUGUGCUGCAGAUGUGAGGAAUACAUCUGCAAAGUCCAUGCACACACACCUGCAUAUUGUUCUACACUGUCCCACUUAUUAGAGUUGAUUUAUUUAUGCUCCUCAAGUUUUGUUUUGUAUCUGUUAUUUUAUUCUGGUUUAUUGUUGUUUGUUUAUACACCUUGUAGGUAGGGCAAUGGUUCAAAAAUGGGAGAAGACUAGUAUUCUGUAGUUGAAUUCCUUGUUGUACAGUAUAUAAGUUGUACACUAUAUGUUGCCAAAAAAGACUUUCUGCAUAUUUCUGCUACUUUCUUAGGCUAUACAAGUGCUAUCUCUUGCUAAAAAAAAACACAUUUACACCUAUGCAGUACCUUUAGCAAUAAUAAUAGUAAUAAGCCCCUACUUUAGUAAAUAAAACAAUUAUGGCAGACGUGCUAUAAUAAAAAAUGCCCCCAGCGCUCAGAGCAUCCCCAUCGGGUAUUCAGGAGUAUAAUUGAGUUCUGUGUGAACUUUUUUCACCCACAAACAGAUCGAUGUGUAACUGCAAACCUUUGAUGUGUAACUGCAAACAUUUGUGCAAAUCUUCUUUAUGCACUCACACACUGGAAAUUAUUUGUGCAAAUCUUUAUCAUUUGUUCACAAAAUGUCAUACACAGCUACAGAUCUCCUUACGGAUUCAAAAAUUAUAUUUGUUCAGAUUUUUUUUUUUUUACACAUUCAAACAAUUGAAUUUCAUUUGAUCAAAAUGUUUUUACAUAUUCACACAUUUGAAUGUAUUCAUAUUUAAUGUUUUCACAUAUUCACAUACCUAUUUUGAGCCCAUACGGGGGCAAAGUUAUUAGAUUAACAUAUCGUUCUCUAAGAGUCAACAUGGUGAAGGUCUUGAUUUUACAUCUGAGUGACUCAAGCUCAGUUUCAUUUAAGCCUGAAGGUAUAGAAGUGAAGAACUCCUUAGAUUCCCCUAUGGAGGAUAAGAAAGUAUGUGCUGCCUGUUGAACCCACAAACAACAAGCCGUAAGGAAAGCAACACACACAUGCACGCACACACACACACACACACACACACACACACACACACACACACACACACACACA
Molecule: long non-coding RNA, 2280 nt
Organism: Thunnus maccoyii (southern bluefin tuna)
Lineage: Eukaryota; Metazoa; Chordata; Actinopteri; Scombriformes; Scombridae
Exons: 2
Source: RefSeq, a predicted model, not a curated record